CAAACUGAAGAUGGCGACCGGCGCACGGGUGAGUAACACGUAUCCAACCUGCCGAUAACUCCGGAAUAGCCUUUCGAAAGAAAGAUUAAUACCGGAUAGUAUACGAAUAUCGCAUGAUAUUUUUAUUAAAGAAUUUCGGUUAUCGAUGGGGAUGCGUUCCAUUAGUUUGUUGGCGGGGUAACGGCCCACCAAGACUACGAUGGAUAGGGGUUCUGAGAGGAAGGUCCCCCACAUUGGAACUGAGACACGGUCCAA
RNAcentral lists this ribosomal RNA (255 nucleotides) under uncultured bacterium. RNAcentral describes it as "partial 16S ribosomal RNA". It matches the Rfam family "Bacterial small subunit ribosomal RNA", at positions 77 to 334 of the family's 1533-position model. The record is from RNAcentral.